This 497-nucleotide ribosomal RNA is filed under the name uncultured bacterium. RNAcentral's name for it is "partial 16S ribosomal RNA". It matches the Rfam family "Bacterial small subunit ribosomal RNA", at positions 28 to 507 of the family's 1533-position model. The record is from RNAcentral.
GAUGAACGCUGGCGGCGUGCCUAAUACAUGCAAGUCGAGCGAACAGACGAGGAGCUUGCUCCUCUGACGUUAGCGGCGGACGGGUGAGUAACACGUGGAUAACCUACCUAUAAGACUGGGAUAACUUCGGGAAACCGGAGCUAAUACCGGAUAAUAUAUUGAACCGCAUGGUUCAAUAGUGAAAGACGGUUUUGCUGUCACUUAUAGAUGGAUCCGCGCCGCAUUAGCUAGUUGGUAAGGUAACGGCUUACCAAGGCAACGAUGCGUAGCCGACCUGAGAGGGGGAUCGGCCACACUGGAACUGAGACACGGUCCAGACUCCUACGGGAGGCAGCAGUAGGGAAUCUGCCGCAAUGGGCGAAAGCCUGACGGAGCAACGCCGCGUGAGUGAUGAAGGUCUUCGGAUCGUAAAACUCUGUUAUUAGGGAAGAACAAAUGUGUAAGUAACUAUGCACGUCUUGACGGUACCUAAUCAGAAAGCCACGGCUAACUACGUG